AUAAUCACAGUUACAUUGUUGCUUGCAAAAUGUAUUGCAGUUCUAGUGGAGUUGCUUUGAUAUUGUAGCUCUUAUAUCUUCUCUUAAUCUUCCAACUCUCACAUAUAUAUAAAAUUUUCAACCGUACUUGUUAACUAUUCUAUUUUAUUCAAAGUCUAAUCGAUUUCCAUUCUAUUUCAGUGCAUCUGUUCUAUAUCGUGCUACAAGUAGCGAACCAUAACCAAACCUCAUAAUGGGCAAGGAAAGGACCACCGUCAACAUCACCCUCAUUGGACAUCUGGCUUAGGCCUGAAAAAUGGAUUCUUCUAGAAGAUUCUACUCCCUCAACGACUGAAAAUGGAUUCUGAACUUCAAACUUCUUGGACAGGACUAUCAAAAU
This is a long non-coding RNA of Nilaparvata lugens (brown planthopper), 379 nucleotides long. RefSeq lists it as uncharacterized. The transcript is spliced from 2 exons. NCBI's taxonomy places the organism in Eukaryota, Metazoa, Arthropoda, Insecta, Hemiptera, Delphacidae. The record is from RefSeq and is a predicted model, not a curated record.